RNAcentral lists this unclassified non-coding RNA (264 nucleotides) under fungal sp. Its description in RNAcentral is "partial internal transcribed spacer region". The stretch from base 1 to 46 matches the Rfam family "Eukaryotic small subunit ribosomal RNA", at positions 1786 to 1831 of the family's 1831-position model. Lineage: Eukaryota; Fungi. The record is from RNAcentral.
AAGUCGUAACAAGGUUUCCGUAGGUGAACCUGCGGAAGGAUCAUUAUCUAUUGGUGAAUGCGUAGCACCUUAAAAAUCGUAACCUAAUCGUGUGCACCUUCCUGCUGUGUGUGGUGGAAACCCGGAUGUCGAGAGUUCGCAAGGACAGGUAGCUUCUGGGUGACCAUCACCCAAUAAUCACCCUUUAACAUUUCUUGAUUAAGUACCGAGGGACUUGUCCCAAGGGAAGUUAUACAACUUUUAGCAACGGAUCUCUAGGCUCUC